This 28-nucleotide non-coding RNA is filed under the name Mus musculus (house mouse). The record is from RNAcentral. Lineage: Eukaryota; Metazoa; Chordata; Mammalia; Rodentia; Muridae.
UGAGGGUCUACAUUAGAUUAUAGGAGGU